This 360-nucleotide long non-coding RNA is filed under the name Vigna radiata. RNAcentral's name for it is "long non-coding RNA (VRAD_LNC011451)". The record is from RNAcentral. Lineage: Eukaryota; Viridiplantae; Streptophyta; Magnoliopsida; Fabales; Fabaceae.
CAGCAUCUCUACAUGCAAAUGCCAUCAAAAGGACUUUUUCAAGGCUUGUAAUGAGGUUGGGCUAACAAGAAAAAAUGGUUUUUCUAGAAUGCAAAAUCCUUGAGUCAAGAGAGCUAACACAAUAUUCAACAUUUAAGCACAACUCUCUCACCAAUAUCUCUCAUUCCCAACUUCUUCCCUUUUCUUUUCUUUUUCAUUGAGCUCAUUUUCAUGCUUUUCUUCUUUUCUUUUCUUUUUCUCAUGAAUUUUUUUUUCACAACAUUUGAACUCAAUGCUUUUCACUUGCUUUUUCAAUUUUCCCCCGUACAACCCCAAACUUGAACCUUUUCAUCACAUACAAUUAAGCUCCUCCCAACUCAA